RNAcentral lists this microRNA precursor (64 nucleotides) under Oreochromis niloticus (Nile tilapia). RNAcentral's name for it is "microRNA oni-mir-10548d precursor". The record is from miRBase by way of RNAcentral. Lineage: Eukaryota; Metazoa; Chordata; Actinopteri; Cichliformes; Cichlidae.
GGCAUGCUUACGGAUGCCAUGCACGUGCAUAUGCCUUCCCUGCACGGCACUGCAGGCCAUGCUC